AGUGAACGCUGGCGGUAGGCCUAACACAUGCGAGUCGAACGGCAGCACAGUAAGAGCUUGCUCUUACGGGUGGCGAGUGGCGGACGGGUGAGGAAUACAUCGGAAUCUACUUUUUCGUGGGGGAUAACGUAGGGAAACUUACGCUAAUACCGCAUACGACCUACGGGUGAAAGCAGGGGAUCUUCGGACCUUGCGCGAUUGAAUGAGCCGAUGUCGGAUUAGCUAGUUGGCGGGGUAAAGGCCCACCAAGGCGACGAUCCGUAGCUGGUCUGAGAGGAUGAUCAGCCACACUGGAACUGAGACACGGUCCAGACUCCUACGGGAGGCAGCAGUGGGGAAUAUUGGACAAUGGGCGCAAGCCUGAUCCAGCCAUACCGCGUGGGUGAAGAAGGCCUUCGGGUUGUAAAGCCCUUUUGUUGGGAAAGAAAAGCAGCAGGUUAAUACCCCGCUGUUCUGACGGUACCCAAAGAAUAGGCACCGGCUAACUUCGUG
RNAcentral lists this ribosomal RNA (492 nucleotides) under uncultured bacterium. Its description in RNAcentral is "partial 16S ribosomal RNA". It matches the Rfam family "Bacterial small subunit ribosomal RNA", at positions 29 to 507 of the family's 1533-position model. The record is from RNAcentral.